CAGCCGCCGCGGGAAUACGAAGGGUGCAGGCGUUAAUCGGAAUUACUGGGCGUAAAGCGUGCGUAGGCGGUGAGUUAAGUCUGCUGUGAAAUCCCCGGGCUCAACCUGGGAAUGGCAGUGGAUACUGGCUCGCUAGAGUGUGUCAGAGGAUGGUGGAAUUCCCGGUGUAGCGGUGAAAUGCGUAGAGAUCGGGAGGAACAUCAGUGGCGAAGGCGGCCAUCUGGGACAACACUGACGCUGAGGCACGAAAGCGUGGGGAGCAAACAGGAUUAGAUACCCGAGUAGUCCCUGUCUCUUAUAA
RNAcentral lists this ribosomal RNA (301 nucleotides) under uncultured bacterium. RNAcentral describes it as "partial 16S ribosomal RNA". It matches the Rfam family "Bacterial small subunit ribosomal RNA", at positions 509 to 809 of the family's 1533-position model. The record is from RNAcentral.